AAAAUGACUCUCGACAACAGAUAUCUCGGCUCUAGCAUCGAUGAAGAACGUAGCGAAAUGCGAUACUUGGUGUGAAUUACAGAAUCCCCGUGAACCAUCGAGUUUUUGAACGCAAGUUACGCCCAAAGCCAUUAGGCCAAGGGCACGUCUGCCUGAGCGUCACGCAUCACGUCGCCCC
RNAcentral lists this ribosomal RNA (178 nucleotides) under Ilex canariensis. RNAcentral's name for it is "5.8S ribosomal RNA". The stretch from base 6 to 162 matches the Rfam family "5.8S ribosomal RNA". Rfam says of the family: 5.8S ribosomal RNA (5.8S rRNA) is a component of the large subunit of the eukaryotic ribosome. The record is from RNAcentral. Lineage: Eukaryota; Viridiplantae; Streptophyta; Magnoliopsida; Aquifoliales; Aquifoliaceae.